RNAcentral lists this ribosomal RNA (425 nucleotides) under uncultured Flavobacteriia bacterium. RNAcentral's name for it is "bacterial SSU rRNA". It matches the Rfam family "Bacterial small subunit ribosomal RNA", at positions 433 to 871 of the family's 1533-position model. Lineage: Bacteria; Pseudomonadati; Bacteroidota; Flavobacteriia. The record is from RNAcentral.
CUUUUAUACAGGAAGAACCUUUCCACGUGUGGAGAGCUGACGKACUGUAAGAAUAAGGACGGCUAACUCCGUGCCAGCAGCCGCGGUAAUACGAGGACCAAGCGUUAKCCGGAAUCAUUGGGUUUAAAGGGCCGUAGGUGGAUAAUUAAGCAGAGGUGAAAGUUUGCGGCUCAACCGUAAAAUUGCCUUUGAUACUGGUUAUCUUGAAUCAUUGUGAAGUGGUUAGAAUAUGUAGUGUAGCGGUGAAAUGCAUAGAUAUUACAUAGAAUACCAAUUGCGAAGGCAGAUCACUAACAAUGUAWUGACACUGAUGGACGAAAGCGUGGGGAGCGAACGGGAUUAGAUACCCCGGUAGCCACGCGUAAACGAUGGCACUAGAUGUUCGGCUUCGGCUGAGUGGCUAAGCGAAAGUGAUAAGUGACCCA